ACGGGAGGCAGCAGUGGGGAAUAUUGCACAAUGGGGGAAACCCUGAUGCAGCGACGCCGCGUGAGUGAAGAAGUAUUUCGGUAUGUAAAGCUCUAUCAGCAGGGAAGAUAAUGACGGUACCUGACUAAGAAGCCCCGGCUAACUACGUGCCAGCAGCCGCGGUAAUACGUGGGGGGCAAGCGUUAUCCGGAUUUACUGGGUGUAAAGGGAGCGCAGACGGCCAUGCAAGUCUGAAGUGAAAUCCACGGGCUCAACCCGUGAACUGCUUUGGAAACUGUAAGGCUAGAGUGCAGGAGAGGUAAGUGGAAUUCCUAGUGUAGCGGUGAAAUGCGUAGAUAUUAGGAGGAACACCAGUGGCGAAGGCGGCUUACUGGACUGUAACUGACGUUGAGGCUCGAAAGCGUGGGGAGCAAACAGGAUUAGAUACCCUGGUA
RNAcentral lists this ribosomal RNA (434 nucleotides) under uncultured Clostridium sp. RNAcentral's name for it is "partial 16S ribosomal RNA". It matches the Rfam family "Bacterial small subunit ribosomal RNA", at positions 341 to 792 of the family's 1533-position model. The record is from RNAcentral. Lineage: Bacteria; Bacillati; Bacillota; Clostridia; Eubacteriales; Clostridiaceae.